AGUGAACGCUGGCGGUAGGCCUAACACAUGCAAGUCGAACGGCAGCACAGAGGAGCUUGCUCCUUGGGUGGCGAGUGGCGGACGGGUGAGGAAUACAUCGGAAUCUACUCUGUCGUGGGGGAUAACGUAGGGAAACUUACGCUAAUACCGCAUACGACCUACGGGUGAAAGCAGGGGAUCUUCGGACCUUGCGCGAUUGAAUGAGCCGAUGUCGGAUUAGCGAGUUGGCGGGGUAAAGGCCCACCAAGGCGACGAUCCGUAGCUGGUCUGAGAGGAAGAUCAGCCACAAUGGAACUGAGACACGGUCCAGACUCCUACGGGAGGCAGCAGUGGGGAAUAUUGGACAAUGGGCGCAAGCCUGAUCCAGCCAUACCGCUUGGGUGAAGAAGGCCUUCGGGUUGUAAAGCCCUUUUGUUGGGAAAGAAAUCCAUCUGGUUAAUACCCGGGUGGGAUGACGGUACCCAAAGAAUAAGCACCGGCUAACUUCGUGCCAGCCGCCGCCGUAA
This 506-nucleotide ribosomal RNA is filed under the name uncultured bacterium. Its description in RNAcentral is "partial 16S ribosomal RNA". It matches the Rfam family "Bacterial small subunit ribosomal RNA", at positions 29 to 523 of the family's 1533-position model. The record is from RNAcentral.